RNAcentral lists this ribosomal RNA (478 nucleotides) under uncultured bacterium. RNAcentral describes it as "partial 16S ribosomal RNA". It matches the Rfam family "Bacterial small subunit ribosomal RNA", at positions 28 to 523 of the family's 1533-position model. The record is from RNAcentral.
GAUGAACGCUGACAGAAUGCUUAACACAUGCAAGUCUACUUGAUUCUACUUCGGUAGUUGAUGGUGGCGGACGGGUGAGUAACGCGUAAAGAAUCUGCCCUUUAGUUUGGGAUAACCUUUGGAAACGAAGGCUAAUACCGGAUAUUAUGGAGACGUCGCAUGACGUCUCCAUGAAAGCUAUAUGCGCUAGAGGAGGACUUUGCGUCCCAUUAGUUAGUUGGUGAGGUAAUGGCUCACCAAGACCGCGAUGGGUAGCCGGCCUGAGAGGGUGAUCGGCCACAAGGGAACUGAGACACGGUCCUUACUACUACGGGAGGCAGCAGUGGGGAAUAUUGUACAAUGGGCCGCAAGCCUGAUCCAGCAAUUCUGUGUGCACGAUGAAGGUCUUCGGAUUGUAAAGUGCUUUCAGUAGGGAAGAAAAAAAUGACGGUACCUACAGAAGAAGCGACGGCUAAAUAUGUGCCAGCCGCCGCGGUAA